Molecule: ribosomal RNA, 356 nt
Filed under: Terrisswalkerius nashi
Lineage: Eukaryota; Metazoa; Annelida; Clitellata; Crassiclitellata; Megascolecidae
Description: partial 12S ribosomal RNA
Source: RNAcentral
UUAAAGUCGGAUAAUACGAACUACAGUUUAAAAUUCAAAGAUCCUGGCGGUGCUUUAUAAAACCAGGGGAACCUGUCCUGCAACUCGAUAGUCCACGACUACCUAACCUCUUUUUGAAACCCAGCUUGUGUACUGCCGUUGUAAGCAAACCUCUAAAAGUAAAGUAUGCUAUUAUAACCAUUAAUAACUUUUAUACAUCAGGUCAAAGUGCAGCUAAUAAAGAGGAAGCGAUGGGUUACAACCUCAAAAAAGACAUAGAUUAAAAAAUUAAAAAUUUUUAUAAAAGUGGACUUGGUUGUAAUUUAUAAAUAUUUUAAAUAAAUGAAUAUAUACUUAAAGCAUGUACACAUCGCCCG